GGUUAAGCGACUAAGCGUACACGGUGGAUGCCCUGGCAGUCAGAGGCGAUGAAGGACGUGCUAAUCUGCGAUAAGCGUCGGUGAGGUGAUAUGAACCGUUAUAACCGGCGAUUUCCGAAUGGGGAAACCCAGUGUGUUUCGACACACUAUCAUUAACUGAAUCCAUAGGUUAAUGAGGCGAACCGGGGGAACUGAAACAUCUAAGUACCCCGAGGAAAAGAAAUCAACCGAGAUUCCCCCAGUAGCGGCGAGCGAACGGGGAGGAGCCCAGAGCCUGAAUCAGUGUGUGUGUUAGUGGAAGCGUCUGGAAAGGCGCGCGAUACAGGGUGACAGCCCCGUACACAAAAAUGCACAUAUUGUGAGCUCGAUGAGUAGGGCGGGACACGUGGUAUCCUGUCUGAAUAUGGGGGGACCAUCCUCCAAGGCUAAAUACUCCUGACUGACCGAUAGUGAACCAGUACCGUGAGGGAAAGGCGAAAAGAACCCCGGCGAGGGGAGUGAAAAAGAACCUGAAACCGUGUACGUACAAGCAGUGGGAGCCUCUUAAUGGGGUGACUGCGUACCUUUUGUAUAAUGGGUCAGCGACUUAUAUUCUGUAGCAAGGUUAACCGAAUAGGGGAGCCGAAGGGAAACCGAGUCUUAACUGGGCGUUAAGUUGCAGGGUAUAGACCCGAAACCCGGUGAUCUAGCCAUGGGCAGGUUGAAGGUUGGGUAACACUAACUGGAGGACCGAACCGACUAAUGUUGAAAAAUUAGCGGAUGACUUGUGGCUGGGGGUGAAAGGCCAAUCAAACCGGGAGAUAGCUGGUUCUCCCCGAAAGCUAUUUAGGUAGCGCCUCGUGAAUUCAUCUCCGGGGGUAGAGCACUGUUUCGGCAAGGGGGUCAUCCCGACUUACCAACCCGAUGCAAACUGCGAAUACCGGAGAAUGUUAUCACGGGAGACACACGGCGGGUGCUAACGUCCGUCGUGAAGAGGGAAACAACCCAGACCGCCAGCUAAGGUCCCAAAGUCAUGGUUAAGUGGGAAACGAUGUGGGAAGGCCCAGACAGCCAGGAUGUUGGCUUAGAAGCAGCCAUCAUUUAAAGAAAGCGUAAUAGCUCACUGGUCGAGUCGGCCUGCGCGGAAGAUGUAACGGGGCUAAACCAUGCACCGAAGCUGCGGCAGCGACACUAUGUGUUGUUGGGUAGGGGAGCGUUCUGUAAGCCUGUGAAGGUGUACUGUGAGGUAUGCUGGAGGUAUCAGAAGUGCGAAUGCUGACAUAAGUAACGAUAAAGCGGGUGAAAAGCCCGCUCGCCGGAAGACCAAGGGUUCCUGUCCAACGUUAAUCGGGGCAGGGUGAGUCGACCCCUAAGGCGAGGCCGAAAGGCGUAGUCGAUGGGAAACAGGUUAAUAUUCCUGUACUUGGUGUUACUGCGAAGGGGGGACGGAGAAGGCUAUGUUGGCCGGGCGACGGUUGUCCCGGUUUAAGCGUGUAGGCUGGUUUUCCAGGCAAAUCCGGAAAAUCAAGGCUGAGGCGUGAUGACGAGGCACUACGGUGCUGAAGCGACAAAUGCCCUGCUUCCAGGAAAAGCCUCUAAGCAUCAGGUAACAUCAAAUCGUACCCCAAACCGACACAGGUGGUCAGGUAGAGAAUACCAAGGCGCUUGAGAGAACUCGGGUGAAGGAACUAGGCAAAAUGGUGCCGUAACUUCGGGAGAAGGCACGCUGAUAUGUAGGUGAAGCGACUUGCUCGUGGAGCUGAAAUCAGUCGAAGAUACCAGCUGGCUGCAACUGUUUAUUAAAAACACAGCACUGUGCAAACACGAAAGUGGACGUAUACGGUGUGACGCCUGCCCGGUGCCGGAAGGUUAAUUGAUGGGGUUAGCGGUAACGCGAAGCUCUUGAUCGAAGCCCCGGUAAACGGCGGCCGUAACUAUAACGGUCCUAAGGUAGCGAAAUUCCUUGUCGGGUAAGUUCCGACCUGCACGAAUGGCGUAAUGAUGGCCAGGCUGUCUCCACCCGAGACUCAGUGAAAUUGAACUCGCUGUGAAGAUGCAGUGUACCCGCGGCAAGACGGAAAGACCCCGUGAACCUUUACUAUAGCUUGACACUGAACAUUAAGCCUUGAUGUGUAGGAUAGGUGGGAGGCUUUGAAGUGUGGACGCCAGUCUGCAUGGAGCCGACCUUGAAAUACCACCCUUUAAUGUUUGAUGUUCUAACGUGGGCCCCUUACCGGGGUUGCGGACAGUGUCUGGUGGGUAGUUUGACUGGGGCGGUCUCCUCCUAAAGAGUAACGGAGGAGCACGAAGGUUGGCUAAUCCUGGUCGGACAUCAGGAGGUUAGUGCAAUGGCAUAAGCCAGCUUGACUGCGAGCGUGACGGCGCGAGCAGGUGCGAAAGCAGGUCAUAGUGAUCCGGUGGUUCUGAAUGGAAGGGCCAUCGCUCAACGGAUAAAAGGUACUCCGGGGAUAACAGGCUGAUACCGCCCAAGAGUUCAUAUCGACGGCGGUGUUUGGCACCUCGAUGUCGGCUCAUCACAUCCUGGGGCUGAAGUAGGUCCCAAGGGUAUGGCUGUUCGCCAUUUAAAGUGGUACGCGAGCUGGGUUUAGAACGUCGUGAGACAGUUCGGUCCCUAUCUGCCGUGGGCGCUGGAGAACUGAGGGGGGCUGCUCCUAGUACGAGAGGACCGGAGUGGACGCAUCACUGGUGUUCGGGUUGUCAUGCCAAUGGCACUGCCCGGUAGCUAAAUGCGGAAGAGAUAAGUGCUGAAAGCAUCUAAGCACGAAACUUGCCCCGAGAUGAGUUCUCCCUGACUCCUUGAGAGUCCUGAAGGAACGUUGAAGACGACGACGUUGAUAGGCCGGGUGUGUAAGCGCAGCGAUGCGUUGAGCUAACCGGUACUAAUGAACCGUGAGGCUUAACCUU
Molecule: ribosomal RNA, 2904 nt
Filed under: Escherichia coli
Lineage: Bacteria; Pseudomonadati; Pseudomonadota; Gammaproteobacteria; Enterobacterales; Enterobacteriaceae
Also listed under: 2 other names
Description: 23S ribosomal RNA
Rfam family: Bacterial large subunit ribosomal RNA
Source: RNAcentral